AGAUGAGGCGCAGAGAGACAGAGCUGGGGAAAACAUGAAAGAAAAGGGAAGAAGUCAAAGAAGAUAGGAUGCGAAGGCCCAAAUGCACACAUCUCCUAGGUUCUGGAAGAAAAAACGAGAGGGCGUGCAGGAGACUUGAGAUGCAACAGACAGGCUGAGGAAAGAAUCCUCAGANNNNNNNNNNNNNNNNNNNNNNNNNGGAAUGCAAUCUCAAGCAGGCUCUCCGUGGAGACAUACCACCGUCAAAUGACAAAAACCAGAGGCAAAGACACAAUCUGGAGUCCCAUUGUGGCUCAGUGAGUUAGGAACCCAACGUAGUGUCCACGAGAGUGUGGGUUUGAUCCCUGGCCUCACUCCGUGGGCUAAGAUCCAGCAUUGCUGCAACCUGUGCAGUUGCUCCUAAAUGUGGUCCAGAUUCUGAGUUGCUAUGGCUUUGGAGCAGGCCGGCAGCUGCAGCUCGAUUCCACCCCUAGCCCAGAACUUCCAUGUGCCUCAGGAAUGGCCGUAAACAAACAAAAAAAGACGUGACCUGAGAAGCAACAAGAACGAAAGGGCAGAUCCCAUCAGAAACCCGAGGGGAGCUGACCGCUGAUGCUCCAGAGCCACCGGAAAUUGGAAUGCAAUGGCAUGCUAUUUCCAACAUGCUAAGAAAAAAAGUACCACCAAAAUAGGACUGUCUGCCUAGUGAUGGAAAAGAUAUACAUUACCAGACAAAUAGAAAUGGGUGAAUCUACCAGUAGAGCUUCAGUAAAGGGAAUUUUAAAGGAAAUGGUUCACAAGGAAGAAAGCAAAGAAAGCAUCAGAUACGCCGGGCAAGCUAAGCAAGAACUGACUAAAUAAAAUAAGGGUAGAUGACGGAGCAUGAUAAUGGGAGCAAAAAGAAUGCAAGCACGUAUAUGUAACCGGGUCACCAUGCUGUACAGUAGAAAAAAAUAGAAUUGGGGAAGUAACAAUAAAAAAAAUUUUUGAAGGGUAAUAAAAACAAGUUGAAACUAAAAUAUUGGGUAAAAAUAACACGUAAAGCUGGGUGCGUGAUUAGAGUGAAAGCAGUCUGCAAUCUUUGUAUUUUAUGUGAAAUGUUUGGGAGAGGAACAGAAAAGCGGCAGAACUUUAGAAACUGAGUUAAGUGUGUUAUGUUAGAAUUGUAAAGAUAAGCACUUAAAAAAACAAGUGAUUUUCAAAGAGCUAAGGAAGAGAAAUAGAGGCCAGUGAGGGAAGCCAAGAAAGUCAUCUGUAACGAGAGCACCAGGUAUGGCGUGAUGGAAUGCUCUCCGCAAUGGAUAUGGUCUAACAGAGACACAGCAAGGAUGCUGCAGGAAGGACCACUGGCUUAAGAGGGAUGCUGGACCCAAGAUGUGAAGCCCCUCUUCCAACCCCUUAGAAUCCUAUGGAUCAAAUAGGACAGGACCAUAUACAGGGCUAUUCUUUCCUUCUUCCUUCCUUCCACAAUGGUUUAUUGAGCACCUACUGUAUGCCAGGCACCACUCUAGAUGCACUCUAGAUGCAUUUAUGGUGUUUUAUCUCUAGGGAGGAAAACGUACAAUAAACAAAAUGAUUUGAGAUGAUGAUGCUACGAAGAAAAUAGUGAUGAGACAGCCUGGCAGAGAAUUGGAUGGGCAUUCGUUAUUAGGAGGUCCUGAAGAGAGGUAAGGUGAGCGGAGACCUGAAGGUCAAGUAAAAGCCAACCACAGAGGGAGCUCCCAGGGUCCAAGAAGCCUGGAUACGUAAGGUGGGGCCAGCUUGGUGGAGCUGGAAGCCGGGUAGAGCCCAGGGGCCGUCGUAAGGCUGUGGGAAGGUUUUGUUCCAGUUUCCGCUGGGAAAAGAAUCAUGUGUUGGCUUCAGUGAGACCCAAGGCUUUGCUAGCUAAGAUCUGUAUAAUCAUGGAGAAGCUGAAAAUUAGCCCUGCUGGCAGGCAAACCGAGAUAAACAAGGUUUUCAACAGGACAUGGAACAGAAACACAAAGACACACAGGCAGGGCCACCCUGCAGCUGCAAAAUGACAAACCCUUUCCCUAGAAUCACCCAGCACAAGGCCCAUCAUGAGGCUCCUUUGCAAGACGGCCCUGGGUUCACGGCUGCAGCAAGCCUGGGAAACCCAGCACUGAGGCUUCAGGAGGGCUCUUGGGGUUACCCUCUCUGGCGACUGCAAAAAAUCACGACAAGAUUAGCCAGCAUCAUUCUCAACAGCAGCCAGGCGGCUCGCUGAGAGCUUUACACAUAAUAUGAGACAUUUCAUGUUCCCUUAAGCCUCUGGGGUGACUGCUGUCAUGACCACCCUCUUCUGAGGGGUGGGAUUGAGACUUAGAGAGAGGAAGACUAGAAAGUAGCAGAAAGAGGAUUGAGAAAGAAAUUUGUCUGAUGUUGGCAAACAAAGGCCUGCACCAGCUCUUAGCUUUCUGGGUGCUGGCAAGGGUGGGAGCUACUGCUCCUAUUCAGGUCUGAGCCCUAAGUCCUGGCCUUUUAUUUUUAGCAACUGAGAAAUUUUUAUUUAUUUUAUUUUAUUUUCUGUCUUUUUAGGGCCACACUGGCAGCAUAUGGAAGUUCCCAGGCUAGGGGUCAAAUCAGAGCUGUAGCUGCCGGCCUACACCACAGCCACAGCAACGCUGGAUCCUGAACCCACUAAGUGAGUUCAGGGAUCAAACCUGCCUCCUCAUGGAUACUAGUCAGAUUCAUUACUGCUGAGCCAUGACAGGAACUCCUAGUUUG
Molecule: long non-coding RNA, 2706 nt
Filed under: Sus scrofa (pig)
Lineage: Eukaryota; Metazoa; Chordata; Mammalia; Artiodactyla; Suidae
Description: lncRNA (ENSSSCG00005002973.1)
Source: RNAcentral